This 468-nucleotide ribosomal RNA is filed under the name uncultured bacterium. RNAcentral describes it as "partial 16S ribosomal RNA". It matches the Rfam family "Bacterial small subunit ribosomal RNA", at positions 28 to 523 of the family's 1533-position model. The record is from RNAcentral.
GAUGAACGCUGGCGGCGUGCCUAACACAUGCAAGCCGAGCGAUUUACUUCGGUAAAGAGCGGCGGACGGGUGAGUAACGCGUGGGUAACCUGCCCUGUACACACGGAUAACAUACCGAAAGGUAUGCUAAUACGAGAUAAUAUGCUUUUAUCGCAUGGUAGAAGUAUCAAAGCUUUUGCGGUACAGGAUGGACCCACGUCUGAUUAGCUAGUUGGUAAGGUAACGGCUUACCAAGGCGACGAUCAGUAGCCGACCUGAGAGGGUGAUCGGCCACAUUGGAACUGGGACACGGUCCAAACUCCUACGGGAGGCAGCAGUGGGGAAUAUUGCACAAUGGGCGAAAGCCUGAUGCAGCAACGCCGCGUGAGCGAUGAAGGCCUUCGGGUCGUAAAGCUCUGUCCUCAAGGAAGAUAAUGACGGUACUUGAGGAGGAAGCCCCGGCUAACUACGUGCCAGCCGCCGCCGUAA